Molecule: RNA transcript, 1091 nt
Organism: Elephantulus edwardii (Cape elephant shrew)
Lineage: Eukaryota; Metazoa; Chordata; Mammalia; Macroscelidea; Macroscelididae
Gene name: transmembrane protein 198-like
Exons: 4
Source: RefSeq, a predicted model, not a curated record
AUGGAGAAAGCCUUACUGCCCCUGGCCAUGACUUCUGACCCCAGACCCUUUAAUCAACAACUCCCAGAGCCUCCAGACCCAAAAUGUGUUUUGGAACCCCAAGACAGCCCUGAACUAGCACCCACCCUAGUGUGUGCCCUUUGCUGCUGCUUUGGAAUCAUCUACUGCUGCUUUGGCUACCGCUGCUUCAAGGCAGUGAUGUUUCUUUCCGGCCUGCUGUCAGGAGCUUUGGUGAUCUUCCUGUUGUGCCAUAAAGAGCGAGUGCUGGAAACACAGCUGAGCUUGGAGGUGAGCGCAGGCAUCGCGCUGGGCAUUGGACUCCUCUGUGGCCUGGUCACCAUGCUGGUUCGCAGUGUCGGGCUCUUCCUGACUGGUCUCCUACUAGGCCUGACCCUGGGCGCUGGAGCCUUGUUGGGUACGGAGCCCAUCUACCAGCCACCUUCAGCUUGGGUCCCAGCUGGGGCCCUGGUGGGGCUGGCGCUGCUGGGAGCCCUCCUUACACUUCGGUGGCCACGUCCUUUCACAGUUCUUGGUACAGCCCUGCUGGGUGCUGCAGUGCUAGUGGCCUGUGCGGACUUCUUCCUAGAGGGAUUGGCACUGGGAAGUCGGCUGGGCCAACGACUGCAGGCACUUCCAGCCCUACCGCCUCUCUGCUGGUAUAGCUGGGUCUUACUUGGGGCCUGGCCAGCCCUGGGGACUCUUGGGGCCCUGGCCCAGUGGAAGCUCAUGACUGAGGAACAUGGAGGCCAUACCAGUGUAGUCUUGAGCCACCAGCAAAGGCAUCUCCAACUCCUUCGAAUCCGUCAGCAAGAAGCCAAAUGGCACCGGAGCCCCCCUGGUGUGGGGCUCUGUGAGGGCAGUUACCGCCGCCAGAUGCCCCCAAACACUCGCCAGUUACCCCCCAACACCCGACGCCCUGCUGACAGCCUAGCUCCAAGUUAUCUCCAGAGCCUUCAAGAACGCCAACUGGGGCCAGGCAUCCAGGCCACUGCCCCCCACACUGUCCUGGACCUGGAUUCUGACUGUGGUUCUACUGUUCCACUCAACACACAUUCUGGUUCCAGCCAGACUUGAGCCUAAACUUCCUAUGA